RNAcentral lists this long non-coding RNA (2929 nucleotides) under Sus scrofa (pig). Its description in RNAcentral is "lncRNA (ENSSSCG00000052585.1)". The record is from RNAcentral. Lineage: Eukaryota; Metazoa; Chordata; Mammalia; Artiodactyla; Suidae.
GGCAUAUGGAAAUUUCCAGGCUAGGGUCAAAUCAGAGCUACAGCUGCCAGCCUACGCCACAAUCACAGUCACAGCAAUGCCAGAUCCGAGCUGCGUCUGCGUCUGACCUACAUGACAGCUCGUGGCAACUCCGGAUUCUUAACCCACUGAGUGAGGCCAGGGGUCAAACCUGAGUCCUCAUGGAUACUAGUUGGAUUCAUUACCACUGAGCCACAAUUGGAAUUCCUUGAUCCUCAUUCUUAAAGCAAUAAAUUUCCCUUCAAAAAACCCUAUGAUAUAUUUAUACUUUAAAAUAAUAAAUGUCAUGCCAUCAGUAAUCCUAAAAUGCUGCUGAACCUAGUCUAUGACUGAAAAGGUCUCUUUAGCUCAUUUUCUUUUUUUCCUUUUUUAUUUAUUUAUUUAUUUUUUUUGGUCUUCUGAGGGCCGCACCUGUGACAUAUGGAGGUUCCCAGGCUAGGGGUCCAAUCGGAGCUGUUGCCUCCGACCUAGGCCAAAGCCACAGCAACGCCAGAUCUGAGCUGCGUCUGUGACCUACACCACAGCUCACAGCAAUGCCAGAUCCUUAAUCCAUUAAUGUGACCUCCUCACUCCCACGUUUUUGCCUGCUUUUACAAAGAAAUAAAUGAAAAUAGGCAACUAUAAUAGCAUUUUGCCUCCUAGAGCCCAAUGUUCCUGGAGAAACUGCUGCACUAUAUCAAUAGAUUCUCAUUUAAAAAAAAAAAAGAGAGAGAGAGAGAGAGAAGUCAAAUGUAGCACAAAAUGGGGUUGGAGAUAGCUCUAGGAAUACAGAUCUUUAAGGGCAUCUGAAAAUAGGUGCCUAAUAAGUACAUGAAAAUAAAGACCUGUCCAUGCAAAAGGCCUAAGGCACCCUUCAUUUUAUACUCAUUUUUAACCAUCCUGUCACACUGAUUUGGCCCUGAUCGGGAGGUGAGUCCUGUCUAGUGGGGGCUCUGUAUCAUUUGUGAGAUCUAGGUAGAAGAAGUGUUGAAGGAAAACACUUGGAAUUUAUGAAAGUUGACAAGAUCUUUGCCAGAGAUCUAUGACUUCUUCGGCUUGGGUAUAUCUACGUAGGAAUGGGAAAUGGGAAGAAGUAAGGCCUCCUACUUCCUGGCAUAUUAAACCUAGAAAAGGAACAGUUUCUUGAUCUAGGUAAUGUUACCCUUCUGUAUGUUUCUUUCUAAAUCCAUUUUAUUUGAAAUGCAAUGCCUGUCUUUUAUUGUGGCCUGUGAUAAAGGGCAUGCAUGUGAGGUUAGAUAUUUCUAUUUUUCUGAUCAGAAUAUUCUAUGAAAUAUGUAUUUUUUAAUCAUGCAUCCAAUUCAAAUAUGGUCAUGGAAUUAGAUUGGUUGACCACUUCAUAUAAUAUUGGUUACUAUGUGGAGCCAGGGACCAGGUUAGAAGCUGAGUGAGGAAGACAAAUGCAUUAUGCACUAGAAUCUCUUUCUUUCAUUCUCUUUCUCAUCCUCUCUCCUUCAUCUCCUAUUUCUGGUCUUAUUGAAUAUCUUCCACAUCUUCCUCUUCCUCCUCCUCCUCAUCAUAAUCUAGAUGUUCAAGCCACAAUGGAGGAAACUGUCUUGAUCAAUGCUUUUUUCUCCUCUUCAUUCCACUAAAAUAUAUUCCUUGGUCCACAUCCUCUUGGGUUUCUGCCUGGAAUAUUGCAAUCGCAAAGACACAGGUCUAAUAAUAAAUUGGUAAUGAAUCGACUCACUAUUUAAUAUCUUGGACACCAAUGAAAUGUUUGCAUCCAGUAUUAUGACUGAUGUGCACAAUAACCCUAAUAAAGGAUAUUAUCCCCUCUCUUGUAGCGAUAAGAAAACUAAGGCUCAAAAAGGUUGCAUGAGUUGUUCAAAGCCUUCAAGUCAUAGGUAGAUUACUUGGAUUUUAUUCAAAGGCAUUUGACCUCAAGGUCCGUUCUCUCCCCUCUGCCACACUGCUUUGCAUCCAGCCCAGUACCCGCUGCCUGUGCUUCUCACUCCUGGAGUUUCCCAGUAGAGGCUCCUUCACACACAACAUUAGCUCAUCCCUCUGAGGUGAUAUUUUAUAUCUAAGGUUAGGCACCACAGUUAGAAGCAGCCAUAAAAAAAACUUCAAGGUGAAGCACUUAAUCUUAAAAGAACAGACUGUUAGAUUGUAGUCUGGUGCAGUUGGGAAAAACCCUUUAACAAAAGCCCCUUCUGUAAAUUUCUUGUAAAUUUCACUUUGGGUAAGAAACUGUCAUCUUCUUUCUUUGUCUGAAAUCUCUUUGGGACUAGAGCAGGAUUAUUUUAUGUUACCUUUUUAGUCAAGGCCAGCAAAGCAUAUCUACCUUGAAUUUAGUGCUCUGAAAACAGUUAUAGGGCUGUAUCUGAGGUAUAAUUUCAAGUGACCCAGUGAUAUCACCCAAUUAUAUAAUAAAUGUAAAAGCACUCUGAAAGUGAUAAAUAGCCCCAUAAAUGAAAGGGGUUAUUAUGAUGGUAGGUAAACAUAGUCUUUCAUGCAGUAUUUGAUGAACAUUCUUUUUAAAAGAAGCAAAACAACCUAACUAAUGCCAUUUGAUUAUUCUAUUAAAUAGUGAGUAGCAUAAUUAUUCUUCGUUUUAAAUUUUCACAGUGAAAAAUGCAACAAUUUGGCUUAAAAUCUCCAACUGUGUGGGUGUGUAUAAUGUCAUUCUUAAUGUGGUAUGUGUUCAGUGCACUAGAACCUGUGGUUUUCUAGGAAUUGAAAUGGCUCUUCUGGUCAGUUCCAAUGAGAAAAGAUAAUACCUGAGAUCAAAGUGCUGAUAAACUAUUUUUCCAACUUCUUUGCACAUAUCUUUGAAAUUAGCAAUGGAAUAAUCAGAAAAGGUGGAUACUUUAAUGUGUAUAUUGUCCAUUUUUAAAUGAAAAUUGCAAAAUUAAGUGAGGUUUCAACCAUUAAAAAGCCUUAAGGAAUAAACAAAAAAAGAAAAAAAAAA